Molecule: ribosomal RNA, 400 nt
Filed under: uncultured bacterium
Lineage: Bacteria
Description: bacterial SSU rRNA
Rfam family: Bacterial small subunit ribosomal RNA
Source: RNAcentral
AUAUUGCACAAUGGGGGAAACCCUGAUGCAGCGACGCCGCGUGAGCGAAGAAGUAUUUCGGUAUGUAAAGCUCUAUCAGCAGGGAAGAAGAAAGUGACGGUACCUGACUAAGAAGCUCCGGCUAAAUACGUGCCAGCAGCCGCGGUAAUACGUAUGGAGCAAGCGUUAUCCGGAUUUACGGGGUGUAAAGGGAGCGUAGGCGGUGCUAUAAGUCUGAUGUGAAAGCCCGGGGCUCAACCGCGGGACUGCAUUGGAAACUGUAGGACUGGAGUGUCGGAGGGGUAAGUGGAAUUCCUAGUGUAGCGGUGAAAUGCGUAGAUAUUAGGAGGAACACCGGUGGCGAAGGCGGCUUACUGGACGACAACUGACGCUGAGGCUCGAAAGCGUGGGGAGCAAACAG